RNAcentral lists this ribosomal RNA (495 nucleotides) under uncultured Glomeromycotina. RNAcentral's name for it is "partial small subunit ribosomal RNA". It matches the Rfam family "Eukaryotic small subunit ribosomal RNA", at positions 591 to 1092 of the family's 1831-position model. Lineage: Eukaryota; Fungi; Glomeromycota. The record is from RNAcentral.
CCAAUAGCGUAUAUUAAAGUUGUUGCAGUUAAAAAGCUCGUAGUUGAAUUUUAGGCCUGACCGGACGGUCCGUCUCUGGCGAGUACUGUUCUGCUGUCGGGUCUAUCCUUCUGGUGAGCCGGUAUGCCCUUUAUUGGGUGUGUCGGGGAACCAGGACCAUUACCUUGAAAAAAUUAGAGUGUUUAAAGCGGGCUUUUGCUUGAAUAGAUUAGCAUGGAAUAAUAGAAUAGGACGUUGGUUCUAUUUUGUUGGUCUAGGACCACCGUAAUGAUUAAUAGGGAUAGUUGGGGGCAUUAGUAUUCAAUUGUCAGAGAUGAAAUUCUUGGAUUUAUUGAAGACUAACUACUGCGAAAGCAUUUGCCAAGGAUGUUUUCAUUAAUCAAGAACGAAAGUUAGGGGAUCGAAGACGAUCAGAUACCGUCGUAGUCUUAACCAUAAACUAUGCCGACUAGGAAUCGGGCGACGUUAUUUUCAUGACUCGCUCGGCGCCUUAUG